Molecule: non-coding RNA, 71 nt
Organism: Podarcis lilfordi (Lilford's wall lizard)
Lineage: Eukaryota; Metazoa; Chordata; Lepidosauria; Squamata; Lacertidae
Source: the annotation of a GenBank genome assembly
UAAUAGCUCAGUUGGUAGAGCAUGGGACUCAUAAUCUCAGGUUCAUGGGUUCAAAUCCCACCUUGGAAGAU